RNAcentral lists this ribosomal RNA (794 nucleotides) under uncultured bacterium. RNAcentral describes it as "bacterial SSU rRNA". It matches the Rfam family "Bacterial small subunit ribosomal RNA", at positions 119 to 916 of the family's 1533-position model. The record is from RNAcentral.
GGGCAAUCUGCCCUCCGAUGGGGAAUAACCCCGCGAAAGCGGGGCUAAUUCCGCAUAAUAUUCCCUGGACCUCGGUUUGGGGAUUCAAAGCCGUAAGGCGUCGGAGGAGGAGCCCGCGCCCGAUUAGCUAGUUGGUGAGGUAAUGGCUCACCAAGGCAAUGAUCGGUAGCUGGUCUGAGAGGAUGGCCAGCCACACUGGAACUGAGACACGGUCCAGACUCCUACGGGAGGCAGCAGUGGGGAAUCUUGCGCAAUGGGCGAAAGCCUGACGCAGCGACGCCGCGUGGGGGAUGAAGCUUCUCGGAGUGUAAACCCCUUUCGACUGGGACGAAUGCCUCGCAAGAGGAGUGACGGUACCAGUAGAAGAAGCCCCGGCUAACUACGUGCCAGCAGCCGCGGUAAGACGUAGGGGGCCAGCGUUGUUCGGAAUUACUGGGUGUAAAGGGUUCGUAGGCGGUGCGGCAAGUUGGGAGUGAAAUCUCUGGGCUUAACCCAGAGGCUGCUUCCAAAACUGCCGUGCUCGAGUGUGGGAGAGGCGCGUGGAAUUGCAGGUGUAGCGGUGAAAUGCGUAGAUAUCUGCAGGAACACCCGUGGCGAAAGCGGCGCGCUGGACCACAACUGACGCUGAGGAACGAAAGCUAGGGGAGCAAACAGGAUUAGAUACCCUGGUAGUCCUAGCCCUAAACGAUCAGGACUUGGGGUGCCGCCCGUUCGGGCGUCGUCCCGGAGCUAACGCGUUAAGUCCUGCACCUGGGGAGUACGGUCGCAAGACUGAAACUCAAAUGAAUUGACGG